UUCUUAAUCCUAAUAUUGGAAUCUAUUUUCUUCUUUAACAACAAAAUCCAAAUGUUUACUUACUAAUAAUAGUUGUAUAGAAGAUUAUUAUCCUCUAACGUUUCUUCUAACAAAGACUUUUAUCUAUUUUCGAAUCGAUUAACGAUCUAUAGCAUUUAAAAUAAUUUAUUAUUUUUUUCGGCAAUGAUGUCAUCGUGUCACGAUUACCAAAUACCCGACAUAUUUACUUCGAAAAAGCGUUUCCUUUACUCUAUAAUGGAUUGUGGCUAUAAUUGGAUACACUCAGUAUCUAGUCGAAUUUGUCUUACUGUUCCAACAAUUCCAAGAACAAUUUUAUUUUUCAAGUUUCGGAGGUUUACCAAAGAAAAUUCACCGAGUUUUAUAGGACCCUCUUUUUUUUAUUUCUUAUCCUUUUUUUUUCUUCUUGCCUUUUCGAAUUCUCUUUGUCCUUGUGUCGUACGAUGCGUACGUGCGUAUAGUUAGAGGGCGGGAGGCAAUAUUCCAGCUUCGCCAUUGCGAUCGAUAGCAUCCCCGGACCGCCAUUUUCUUGUUAUACUUGCAGAUUUUUAAGGACACACCUUUUAAUCCGGCGACAACUGCAACGUCCUUUGGCAGAGACCGAAAUCGCACGACUACUCACUGCUCCGUGUUUUGUUUUAUUCGGACAAUGAAAACGCAAGAAAAGAAAGAAAUGGCAGCAUAAAGAGCGGCGUAGGGCGACACGUGCCUUUGCGUAUUGUUUUCGGGUUGUCCUGCAGAGGAGCAGUAAUUACGACAGAGAUUCGCGAUCUCUAGAUGAAGUACGAUAAUAUGAAGAGUGUAGGUCCUUUUAUCGUAUAGGUUUUCGGUAAGAAAAAUAACGAUAAAAAUUCGAUGAUAGAUGUAAAAAAGUCUCAUUAAAAAUUUAAAACAAUUAA
This is a long non-coding RNA of Vespula vulgaris, 917 nucleotides long. RefSeq lists it as uncharacterized. The record is from RefSeq and is a predicted model, not a curated record. The transcript is spliced from 2 exons. NCBI's taxonomy places the organism in Eukaryota, Metazoa, Arthropoda, Insecta, Hymenoptera, Vespidae.